GCUGAGAAACCCUCGUCAAACCCCCCUCCCCCCGUCUCACAAUGCUGUAAAUUCCUUUCCUCUGUUCCCUUUUCACCCAGAAAAACAGAGGGAAGAAAAUUAAGAAAAUGGCGUUUUGUAAACCAAUCUGCAUGCAUGCGUAGUCUCGGUGAAGGGGCCACGGUGGAGUGCGCCGAGGAUGGGCGAGUCGAGGUGGUGAACGUGAUGGGGCGUGAUGGUGCCCCUGUGCUAGGCAGCGCCGGCAGGAGAAGCAGCGGCGCAGGUUGGGUACAAGAUAGAAAAAUCCGAGAAAGAAAAAAGCCACAGUUAUUCACAAAUUGAGAAGGAAUGAACGCUGCUAUUGGCGUAGGGAGAGACUGAGAACACAAGGUUAAGAAUCCAAAGGAAGAGGGGCAAGUGGAAAAGUGUUACUCAAGCUCUAAAGACAUCAAAGAUAUAUUUUCUGCUUUGAAAGAGAGUCGCGGAACUCAGUGGGGGUUUGGACUCCUUGAAGCAUCAGAUAGCAUAUAGCCUUCUAUUCUCUCUUGUCAUCGCUUUCAUAUCAGAUGCUUUGUGCACAGUACCAAACAAAGCGCCUGUCUUGUCCCAGGAUGCUUCUUUUAGGCGUGAAUUUCAUGAGAUUGUGAUGGUUGCUGGAAAUGAUACUGUAGUUGAAGGCUUUGUUGAUUGUGUAAGGCUUGCAUGGGUUGUACAUUUGAUUAUGGUACAAGAUGGAAAUGAUGCAAACGAGGCACUGACAAGUACUUUGUCUAAUGAUAUGAAAAGUGUUUGUUCAUGUUUGGACGUCGGUUUUGCCAAUAACGUUUUACAGUUUUGGCUGGAUAAGAUCUUUCAUACAGCAGCAUAUCAGGUUGGUGAUUAAUCUUUCUGAAAGCUAAUUUGACACCAGAGGUGGUAUUGCAAGCUCCUUCAUUUAAUUUUAAUCAGGCUCUUGACUGGAAUGAAAACUUCCUGGUUUCCUGAAUCAUGACUAGUCCUAAACUGAUGUUGUGUAAAACCCCAUUUGUUCUCUGUGGAUGAAUUCUUUAUUGAAAA
Sesamum indicum (sesame) is the source of this 1035-nucleotide non-coding RNA. The record is from RefSeq and is a predicted model, not a curated record. NCBI's taxonomy places the organism in Eukaryota, Viridiplantae, Streptophyta, Magnoliopsida, Lamiales, Pedaliaceae.